This is a long non-coding RNA of Labrus mixtus (cuckoo wrasse), 302 nucleotides long. RefSeq lists it as uncharacterized. The record is from RefSeq and is a predicted model, not a curated record. NCBI's taxonomy places the organism in Eukaryota, Metazoa, Chordata, Actinopteri, Labriformes, Labridae. The transcript is spliced from 2 exons.
UUUAAAGUCCCGACUGAAAUCACUACUUUUAAUUAACAACAGAAAAUAUAACAAAUGUCUGCAUUAUUAUAAAACCUUUCCCCCUCUAUUUAAAUAAUGAUUUCACUAUUUAAAUGUGUCUUUAUUGGUUUAUUUUAUAUUCUGUAUAUUACUGUCUUUACUUUGUACUUUUCUUUAUGUACUGUAUGUUUUUUUGUUAUUUAAUCUGUCUUUUACUUGAUUUACAUUGUGAUAUUGUUUUUUUUAACCUGACUGUAUAUGAGCAUUACUCUUCUUGAAUAAAGCUAAACAAAAAAAAAACA